Molecule: ribosomal RNA, 253 nt
Filed under: uncultured prokaryote
Description: partial 16S ribosomal RNA
Rfam family: Bacterial small subunit ribosomal RNA
Source: RNAcentral
UACGGGGGGAGCAAACGUUGUUCGGAAUCACUGGGCGUAAAGGGCGCGUAGGCGGCUGAAUAAGUGGGAUGUUAAAUCCCCGGGCUCAACCCGGGACCUGCAUCUCAUACUGUUCAGCUCGAGCACAUCAGAGGAGACUGGAAUUCCCGGUGUAGCGGUGAAAUGCGUAGAUAUCGUCAAGAACACCGAUAGCGAAGGCAGGUCUCUGGGCUAUAACUGACGCUCAUGCACGAAAGCGUGGGGAGCAUACAGG